GUCUAUGGCCAUGCUACCCUGAACAAGCCCGAUCCCAUCUGAUCUCAGAAGUUAAGCAGGGUCAGGCCUGGUUAGUACUUGGAUGGGAGACCAGCUAGGGAGGCCAGGUGCUGUAGGCA
RNAcentral lists this ribosomal RNA (119 nucleotides) under Pteropus alecto (black flying fox). Lineage: Eukaryota; Metazoa; Chordata; Mammalia; Chiroptera; Pteropodidae. The record is from RNAcentral.